RNAcentral lists this long non-coding RNA (3142 nucleotides) under Aquilegia coerulea. RNAcentral describes it as "long non-coding RNA (ACOE_LNC001182)". The record is from RNAcentral. Lineage: Eukaryota; Viridiplantae; Streptophyta; Magnoliopsida; Ranunculales; Ranunculaceae.
UCUUUCUUUUUCUCUCUCUUCGACAUUUCAUCAAACACUUUCUCUUCUUCUUCGAAACAAUGACCGAUGUUCUCGCAAACGCGGGUUACAUCGAGAAGUUAUAUGAAUAUGGUGAAAGACUUAAUGAAUCAAAAGACAAAUCUAAGGUUUUAAUUUCUUCUUUCCUUCGUUAAAGGUUUUUUUUUUCUUCUAGGGUUUUGAUUUUGAUUUGGUGUUGUUUGUUGAUGUUGUAGAAUUUAAAAGAUUAUGAAGGAAUAAUAAGAGCAGCAAAAGGAAGUGUGAAAGCAAAACAAUUAGCAGCACAAUUAAUACCUAGAUUUUUAUAAGUUUUUUCCUAGUUUAUCUUUGCAAGCUGUUGAAGCUCAUUUUGAUUUGUGUGAAGAAUAUGAACUCCCGGUUAGUACUUUUUUUUUUUUUUAAAUAAUUGUGAAUUUCUUAUUAGUUUUAUCGUAAUUUGCAAUGUGGUGAUUGAAUAUGUGUGAUUAUAUAAGUUAGAUUUGUAUUAUAUUUGGUUAGUACUACUUUAAACUAGUUUUUUUUUCUUCUUAUUUUUUUUUAAAUAAUUGCGAAUUUUUAUUAGUUUUGUGUUAUUAUUAGUUAUCUUAGUUGCAUGUGGUGAUUGAGUAUGUGAGAUAUAUAUGGUGUUUGGUUUGUAUUAGAAUUUUGUUACACAAUAAAGUAGAAGUUCAACCUCCAUAGGGAUUCAAGGUUUGAGGAGAAAGAGUGGGUUAGUAAAAAAAAAAAAACUUGAGUGGAGAAAGUUUUUUUUUUUUUUUACUUACAAGCUUGAGUGGCUUGUCCUCUACUUUUGUGCAAUUCCUAGAGUAUAUCAAUAAAAUGGAUUUUGUUAAAAAAAAAUGAGUGAAAUUUACUAGUUCUGUGUUAAUUUCAGUUAUCUUAGUUGCAUGUGGCGAUUGAAUAUGUGUGAUUAUAUAAGGUAGAUAGGGAUGCAGGGUUAGUACUUACAGUAGUUUUUUUUUUUUUUUUUUUUUAAUAAUUGUGAAAUUUACUAGUCUUGUGUUACUUUUAGUUAUCUUAGUUGCAUAUGGUGAUUAUGUGAGAUAUAUUUGGUGUGUGUAACUUGAUUUGUAUUAGAAUUUCGCAAUAUGAUAAAAUAGAAGGUAGAUAGGGAUGCAGGGUUUGAGGCGAAAGAGUGAAUUAAUUGGGAUAGGAAGAGGAGAAGGACAACUGAGAUAGAAAAAGAGCAGAAUAUUUGAUGUUUUGAAUGUAAAAAAAUUUCAGUUUGUAAGUAGAUUUGUAUUAUGAUUUUGCUACCACGAUUAAGUAGAAGAUAGAUAAGGGUGUUGGGUUUGAGGAGAAAGAUAGAGUUCAUAGUUUGUACAGAAAUUAAUUGGAAGAGGAGGUGGAGAAGAAACAACUGAGAUAGAAUAAGGUUCGAUUUUAUUGAGGUUUACUGUGAAGAACAAAAGAUUGAGUUCAUUAGCUGUUUAUAGGGAUUUAAACUUAAGAGAGAAGAUUUACAAGCAAAGAGAAAGUGAAAUGGAGUGACAUGGCAGUCUUAACACUUAGCCAACGGUCAUUAGCUGUUUAUAGGAGACUCUAUAUUUCAGAGUUUGCUAUAAAUUCUGAAAUUAAUUGGGAUGCAGUGUUUGAGAAGAAAGAGUGAGUUAAUAGUGUGUGCAGAAAGUAAUUGGGCUAGGAGGAGUACACGAAGGACAACUGAGAUAGAAAAAGAUUUGAUUUUAUUGUUAUUAGUGUACUGCAAAGAGCGAAUGAUUGUUGAGGAGGAUUUGGAGAGAAGUAACGUAGAAAGAAAAAAAAGAGAGGAGGUAGAAGAGAUGAUUUACAACCAAAGAGAAAGUCGAAUGGAGUGGCGUGGCAGUUUUACUCUCUUAUCCAAGUCUCAUUAGUUGUUUAUAGGGAUUUAAGACUUCAUAUUUUAGAGUUAGCAAUGAGAGGCUUUCCUUGUUGUAUACACAUCAAAGAAUGAGUUCGUCUUGGUCUAUGGAGUUCAUUAUUUUUAUGAGAUAUUGUACAGAUCCAAGAGGAAAUGUGUACUGUAUUUUUACGGCAUUAUUCAUAUAUAGCACCUUAAUAAGUGGUACUUGUGAUCUUAAAUUUUAUGUUUAGUAAAUAAGGAUUAGCAACUUUAAGUGAUUCAAACAAUGAGCAAGAAAGAGUUACCCUUUACAUAUGGUACAUGAGUGUGGUUGGCACUUGGCCCAAUGACUGAGUCUCUUUAACAUGUGCCUGAUAGAUUUGCUUCUGUGGUAAAAUUUGACUCGCCAAUCCAUGAGCCCUCUCUCUUAUAUUUUCUCAUAAAUUAUGGCUGUGAGAGUAUUUGUAAGAAUAGAAAGGUUUUCUUUGAAGGAAAAAGUGCAACCUAGAAGGCUAGAUGGAAUAUACUUUAGCUUUUGGCGAUUAGCAUAAAGGUCAUGCUUUAGUUUAAUCUUUCAGGUUUCUUAAAUUUUUAAGGAUUUCCUUGUCAAUGAUUCUGUAUUUUAUCUAGUCGUGUGUUUUGGUGAAAUGGGUGUAGCAUGUCGGUGUUGUUCUGUGCUUCCAGCAAGAUUCAGUAUUCCUUCAUACUUUAACUUGUGUAUUGUUUCAUUUACACACAAUGAAUGAAAUGAAAAAAAAAUUCAAUAUAAAAUAAAAAAAUUAUUUUAACGACUGUGUUACAUACUAACAUUAUAAUAAAUGCACUAAUGAUCUUGAGUCCUGAUAGUUUCUUAUUUCAAUUGUUAUGCUUGCAGAUACAGACAAAGCAUGGGAAAGAAUAGAUUUCUUGUUGUGUGUGUGGUUGAUGAUGGGAUGCGCAGGGAAAGGAGUGGGAAAGAGAGAUGGAGGAUAAUCCUGCUCACCAAAAGCUCUUUAGACUUGUAACUAUGCUUCAUGACCUUGUUGUGAUCUCUGAAAAUUGUAAUUAGUAGCUGUCACCAUGAGGAUCAUUUUUUUAUAUGAAAGACUUGUGCUCUCCAAUCAUCUUGGAAGACAAUUUGUUUGUCUGACUAGAUGCUGGCAAGUAGUUGGAGAUUGUGUGUCAUCAAACAGGCACUUUUUGUUAAGUAAAACUGGAGGAGACUGACUGCUUCAUAUUCAUUCUACAUAUUAAUGCAAAGAAAAACUUAUUAUGUUUUUUUAGGGCUAUAAUGAGGACAUAUAACAGAAGCAUGACCAUAAG